Podarcis lilfordi (Lilford's wall lizard) is the source of this 83-nucleotide non-coding RNA. Lineage: Eukaryota; Metazoa; Chordata; Lepidosauria; Squamata; Lacertidae. The record is from the annotation of a GenBank genome assembly.
GCUCUGGGCUAGCUCAGAUGGUGGAGCAUUUGAGACUCUUAAUCUCAGGGUUGUGGGUUCAAGACCCACUUUCCUGUUUUGCA